GGUUAAGCUCGAGUAAUUUCCCAUUUUGAAACCGUUAUACAUUGCCUUGAGUUUCACGAAUUACAUGUAGUUCACUCACAAACAAAAUCUAACUCCAUACAGUUGACCUCUUUAAGCUAACAUAAUACCCUAAUAUAAAAAUAAUAAUUAUUUGAUAAGAAUAAGUAUAAAUUUGUUACAUUGCUUGAGAAUAUUUAAAAAAAACC
RNAcentral lists this long non-coding RNA (206 nucleotides) under Mytilus galloprovincialis (Mediterranean mussel). The record is from RNAcentral. Lineage: Eukaryota; Metazoa; Mollusca; Bivalvia; Mytilida; Mytilidae.